RNAcentral lists this ribosomal RNA (501 nucleotides) under uncultured Moraxellaceae bacterium. RNAcentral's name for it is "bacterial SSU rRNA". It matches the Rfam family "Bacterial small subunit ribosomal RNA", at positions 9 to 504 of the family's 1533-position model. The record is from RNAcentral. Lineage: Bacteria; Pseudomonadati; Pseudomonadota; Gammaproteobacteria; Moraxellales; Moraxellaceae.
GAGUUUGAUCAUGGCUCAGAUUGAACGCUGGCGGCAGGCUUAACACAUGCAAGUCGAGCGGAGAUGAGGUGCUUGCACCUUAUCUUAGCGGCGGACGGGUGAGUAAUGCUUAGGAAUCUGCCUAUUAGUGGGGGACAACAUUCCGAAAGGAAUGCUAAUACCGCAUACGUCCUACGGGAGAAAGCAGGGGAUCUUCGGACCUUGCGCUAAUAGAUGAGCCUAAGUCGGAUUAGCUAGUUGGUGGGGUAAAGGCCUACCAAGGCGACGAUCUGUAGCGGGUCUGAGAGGAUGAUCCGCCACACUGGGACUGAGACACGGCCCAGACUCCUACGGGAGGCAGCAGUGGGGAAUAUUGGACAAUGGGGGGAACCCUGAUCCAGCCAUGCCGCGUGUGUGAAGAAGGCCUUAUGGUUGUAAAGCACUUUAAGCGAGGAGGAGGCUACUGAGACUAAUACUCUUGGAUAGUGGACGUUACUCGCAGAAUAAGCACCGGCUAACUCU